RNAcentral lists this ribosomal RNA (605 nucleotides) under Heterochaete hirneoloides. Its description in RNAcentral is "eukaryotic LSU rRNA". It matches the Rfam family "Eukaryotic large subunit ribosomal RNA", at positions 67 to 658 of the family's 3401-position model. The record is from RNAcentral. Lineage: Eukaryota; Fungi; Basidiomycota; Agaricomycetes; Auriculariales; Exidiaceae.
AACAAGGAUUCCCCUAGUAACGGCGAGUGAAGAGGGAAGAGCUCAAAUUUAAAAUCUGGCGGUCUACGGCCGUCCGAGUUGUAAUCUAGAGAGGUGUUUUCCGUGCCGGACCGUGUACAAGUCCCUUGGAACAGGGCGUCAUAGAGGGUGAGAAUCCCGUCCAUGACACGGACUACCGGUGCUCUGUGAUACACCUUCGAAGAGUCGAGUUGUUUGGGAAUGCAGCUCAAAAUGGGUGGUAAAUUCCAUCUAAAGCUAAAUACAGGCGAGAGACCGAUAGCGAACAAGUACCGUGAGGGAAAGAUGAAAAGAACUUUGGAAAGAGAGUUAAACAGUACGUGAAAUUGUUGAAAGGGAAACGCUUGAAGUCAGUCGCGUCCGCCGGGACUCAGCCUUGCUUUUGCUUGGUGCACUUCCCGGUGGAUGGGCCAGCAUCGAUUUUGGACGCCGGAAAAGGGCGAGAGGAAGGUGGCAGCUUGCUGUGUUAUAGCCUCUCGUCGUACACGGUGUCUGGGAUCGAGGACCGCAGCACGCCUUUGGUCGGGGUUCGCCCACGCCACGUGCUUAGGAUGCUGGCGUAAUGGCUUUAAACGACCCGUCCUGAA